RNAcentral lists this long non-coding RNA (242 nucleotides) under Lathyrus oleraceus (garden pea). RNAcentral describes it as "Pisum sativum (pea) long non-coding RNA (PSAT_LNC013617)". The record is from RNAcentral. Lineage: Eukaryota; Viridiplantae; Streptophyta; Magnoliopsida; Fabales; Fabaceae.
UGGAUGUAUGUGGUACUUGGAUAAAAUGGUUGAUGUUUGGCAAUAGAAAUGUGGAUAGGAUCAAUGGAACUUUGGAUGGAAAUGCAAUUUUGCCUUUGGUUGUAAAUGCACUUAGGGUUGUAAUGAGAGUAGUGGUUUAAAAUUUGUGUAUUAAAUUGAAUGGAAAUUUAAUGUAUUUGGUUUAAAUCAUUGUAAUUGGAAUGAAGAUGAAUGUAAUUUGUUUGAAUUUGGUUCUUGUAGAA